CUAGUACUUUUUCGGUCCCAAAUUUUUUGUCUUAGUUUUAUCUAGAAAUGAAUGUAUCUAAAUACUAAAGCGUGACUAGAUACAUUCAUAUCUAGACAAAUCUAAGAUAAAUUUUUUGGAACGGAGAGAGUAUCAU
This is a non-coding RNA of Hordeum vulgare subsp. vulgare (domesticated barley), 136 nucleotides long. The record is from Rfam. Lineage: Eukaryota; Viridiplantae; Streptophyta; Magnoliopsida; Poales; Poaceae.